UACAGAGGGUGCAAGCGUUAAUCGGAAUUACUGGGCGUAAAGCGUGCGUAGACGGUUACAUAAGUCAGGUGUGAAAGCCCCGGGCUCAACCUGGGAAUUGCAUUCGAGACUGCGUAGCUAGGGUGCGGAAGAGGGAAGCGGAAUUUCCGGUGUAGCGGUGAAAUGCGUAGAUAUCGGAAGGAACACCAGUGGCGAAAGCGGCUUCCUGGUCCAGCACCGACGUUCAGGCACGAAAGCGUGGGGAGCAAACAGG
RNAcentral lists this ribosomal RNA (253 nucleotides) under uncultured bacterium. RNAcentral's name for it is "partial 16S ribosomal RNA". It matches the Rfam family "Bacterial small subunit ribosomal RNA", at positions 524 to 776 of the family's 1533-position model. The record is from RNAcentral.